Molecule: ribosomal RNA, 253 nt
Filed under: uncultured bacterium
Lineage: Bacteria
Description: partial 16S ribosomal RNA
Rfam family: Archaeal small subunit ribosomal RNA
Source: RNAcentral
UACCAGCACCCCGAGUGGUCGGGACGAUUAUUGGGCCUAAAGCAUCCGUAGCCGGUCCUACAAGUCUUCCGUUAAAUCCACCUGCUCAACAGAUGGGCUGCGGAAGAUACUAUAGGGCUAGGAGGCGGGAGAGGCAAGCGGUACUCAGUGGGUAGGGGUAAAAUCCUCUGAUCCAUUGAAGAACACCGAUGGCGAAGGCAGCCAUCUGGACCGACACUGACGCUGAGGCGCGAAAGCGUGGGGAGCAAACAGG